Molecule: ribosomal RNA, 253 nt
Filed under: uncultured bacterium
Lineage: Bacteria
Description: partial 16S ribosomal RNA
Rfam family: Bacterial small subunit ribosomal RNA
Source: RNAcentral
UACGUAGGGGGCAAGCGUUGUCCGGAAUCAUUGGGCGUAAAGAGCGCGUAGGCGGCCCUGUAAGUCCGCUGUGAAAGUCAAGGGCUCAACCCUUGAAUGCCGGUGGAUACUGCAGGGCUAGAGUCCGGAAGAGGCGAGUGGAAUUCCUGGUGUAGCGGUGAAAUGCGCAGAUAUCAGGAGGAACACCGAUGGCGAAGGCAGCUCGCUGGGACGGUACUGACGCUGAGAAGCGAAAGCAUGGGGAGCGAACAGG